CGAAUGCUGACAUAAGUAACGAUAAAGCGGGUGAAAAGCCCGCUCGCCGGAAGACCAAGGGUUCCUGUCCAACGUUAAUCGGGGCAGGGUGAGUCGACCCCUAAGGCGAGGCCGAAAGGCGUAGUCGAUGGGAAACAGGUUAAUAUUCCUGUACUUGGUGUUACUGCGAAGGGGGGACGGAGAAGGCUAUGUUGGCCGGGCGACGGUUGUCCCGGUUUAAGCGUGUAGGCUGGUUUUCCAGGCAAAUCCGGAAAAUCAAGGCUGAGGCGUGAUGACGAGGCACUACGGUGCUGAAGCAACAAAUGCCCUGCUUCCAGGAAAAGCCUCUAAGCAUCAGGUAACAUCAAAUCGUACCCCAAACCGACACAGGUGGUCAGGUAGAGAAUACCAAGGCGCUUGAGAGAACUCGGGUGAAGGAACUAGGCAAAAUGGUGCCGUAACUUCGGGAGAAGGCACGCUGAUAUGUAGGUGAAGCGACUUGCUCGUGGAGCUGAAAUCAGUCGAAGAUACCAGCUGGCUGCAACUGUUUAUUAAAAACACAGCACUGUGCAAACACGAAAGUGGACGUAUACGGUGUGACGCCUGCCCGGUGCCGGAAGGUUAAUUGAUGGGGUCAGCGCAAGCGAAGCUCUUGAUCGAAGCCCCGGUAAACGGCGGCCGUAACUAUAACGGUCCUAAGGUAGCGAAAUUCCUUGUCGGGUAAGUUCCGACCUGCACGAAUGGCGUAAUGAUGGCCAGGCUGUCUCCACCCGAGACUCAGUGAAAUUGAACUCGCUGUGAAGAUGCAGUGUACCCGCGGCAAGACGGAAAGACCCCGUGAACCUUUACUAUAGCUUGACACUGAACAUUGAGCCUUGAUGUGUAGGAUAGGUGGGAGGCUUAGAAGUGUGGACGCCAGUCUGCAUGGAGCCGACCUUGAAAUACCACCCUUUAAUGUUUGAUGUUCUAACGUUGACCCGUGAUCCGGGUUGCGGACAGUGUCUGGUGGGUAGUUUGACUGGGGCGGUCUCCUCCUAAAGAGUAACGGAGGAGCACGAAGGUUGGCUAAUCCUGGUCGGACAUCAGGAGGUUAGUGCAAUGGCAUAAGCCAGCUUGACUGCGAGCGUGACGGCGCGAGCAGGUGCGAAAGCAGGUCAUAGUGAUCCGGUGGUUCUGAAUGGAAGGGCCAUCGCUCAACGGAUAAAAGGUACUCCGGGGAUAACAGGCUGAUACCGCCCAAGAGUUCAUAUCGACGGCGGUGUUUGGCACCUCGAUGUCGGCUCAUCACAUCCUGGGGCUGAAGUAGGUCCCAAGGGUAUGGCUGUUCGCCAUUUAAAGUGGUACGCGAGCUGGGUUUAGAACGUCGUGAGACAGUUCGGUCCCUAUCUGCCGUGGGCGCUGGAGAACUGAGGGGGGCUGCUCCUAGUACGAGAGGACCGGAGUGGACGCAUCACUGGUGUUCGGGUUGUCAUGCCAAUGGCACUGCCCGGUAGCUAAAUGCGGAAGAGA
RNAcentral lists this ribosomal RNA (1488 nucleotides) under Escherichia coli. RNAcentral's name for it is "partial 23S ribosomal RNA". It matches the Rfam family "Bacterial large subunit ribosomal RNA", at positions 1291 to 2764 of the family's 2925-position model. The record is from RNAcentral. Lineage: Bacteria; Pseudomonadati; Pseudomonadota; Gammaproteobacteria; Enterobacterales; Enterobacteriaceae.